UUACCCCUACGGGAGGCAGCAGUGAGGAAUAUUGGUCAAUGGUCGGGAGACUGAACCAGCCAAGCCGCGUGAGGGAUGAAGGUACAGAGUAUCGUAAACCUCUUUUGUCAGGGAACAAAGGCGGGGACGUGUCCCCGGAUGAGUGUACCUGAAGAAAAAGCAUCGGCUAACUCCGUGCCAGCAGCCGCGGUAAUACGUAGGGGGCAAGCGUUGUCCGGAUUUACUGGGUGUAAAGGGAGCGUAGACGGCUGAGCAAGUCUGAAGUGAAAGGCGGGGGCCCAACCCCCGGACUGCUUUGGAAACUG
Molecule: ribosomal RNA, 305 nt
Filed under: uncultured bacterium
Lineage: Bacteria
Description: bacterial SSU rRNA
Rfam family: Bacterial small subunit ribosomal RNA
Source: RNAcentral